This 106-nucleotide small nuclear RNA is filed under the name Sorex araneus (European shrew). Lineage: Eukaryota; Metazoa; Chordata; Mammalia; Eulipotyphla; Soricidae. The record is from RNAcentral.
AUGGCCUUGCACCAGCAGCAUAUACACUAAAAUUGGAACAAUACAAAGAAGAGUAUAGCCCCUAUACAGGAAUCACAUGCAAAUUUGUGAAGCAUUCACUAUUUUU